This 2027-nucleotide long non-coding RNA is filed under the name Centruroides sculpturatus (bark scorpion). RNAcentral's name for it is "uncharacterized LOC111641029, transcript variant X2". The record is from RNAcentral. Lineage: Eukaryota; Metazoa; Arthropoda; Arachnida; Scorpiones; Buthidae.
ACUGAUUAUAGUCUAUAUUACAUAAUUAAUUUGAAUAGAAGAAUAGUUUAACUGAUAUAUAUAUAUUUUUAAACCACGAUUUAUCUAUAAUGAAUACUGACAUUUCUUUAUUAAUUAUUCGAAGUGGCUAUUAUUUCUUCAGGCAACAAAUCUAUCGAUCUUGAAUGUUGUCAAUAAAGUGACAGUUUAUCGAACAUAUAUGUAUAUUCGUUCUACUUAAACAGCUUGUUAGCAUCGUUCUAGAUAAUGUCAAUUUGAAAGAAAGAAAGAAAAAAAAAUCUUGUUGAUGGAUUGACAGAAUUAUUUUCAAAAAUUUCCUAACUGAAAACUCUUUACUAACGUCGUGAAUUAAAUGACAUGAUUUAAUUAUACAGGGCGCUGGUUGUAUUAAUUUUCUGAGAAGCACACAAGGAAAAAAUGAUAUGAUCUUUAUUAUAAGAAUUGAGAAAAAAAUAAGAAUUAAGAAGAGAAUAGGUGAUUUUUUGUUGCUUAUUGGAUUUAAAUGAGAAUUUCAUGAAGUUAAAUUAAAAAUAAGAGUUGAAGAAGUGCGGUUGGUGUAUAAAGAAGAUAUCAAGUAGUGACAGAAUCUCCACAGACUAUUUUAAGACAAGCGAUAAAUUUCAACUUGAAGUUUACUAUUUGAGAGAAAAUUAAUGAAAUUCUAAGAAGUAAUUAAUAUUUUCUGGACAUUUCCUAUGAACAAUUUGUUUAAUAUUUACUAAUGCUUGAGGCUUUAUAUGUCAAAUUGAAGGUAGGUAAUUCGCCGUUACUUACGUGUGAUACUCGGAAGUUAUGUGUGUGUAUAACUGUACCGGAAAGGGCCUUUCACUUAAAAUAUGAGGAUUAAAAAAUGAAGUGGAAGAGCCUCUACUCGAUUCUUUAUCUACAAAGAUUCAGAUGCCAAAGAUAAUUUAGGAAAUAUAUAUAAUAAUAACAUAAUUGGAAAGAGCAAUUCUCGAAAGUUACUUUACUCUUCAGAUGUUUAUUAAGAAGUAUUCUAGUCACGAUAUAGUCUAAUGCCAACAAUAAUGAUAAUUUAUUACACAAAGCAAGCUUCCUACGUGAAAAGAAAAAUUUGUGUCUUAUCAGCAAAGAAGGUAAUUUCCCAGUAGUGUAUAAUUUGAAAAUACUUUGCAACAAACGGAUGAACCACACCCCGAGGGAUUAGAGCCUACUCAAAGGUUUAGGCUGAAGAAAGGAAGAGAGUGAAUGGAUGAGGAGGAGGAUAAGAAGGAGUAGUUAGGAAUAGAACUGAGAAAUCAGAAGAUUUCUUCAGGCAAAUAUUUUAGUUGUAAUUAUUAUUUUUUAAAUGUUCCAUUUUCGAGAUUUGCCGAAACAAUAAUUUGGAUUAUAGGUAAGAGUAGAGUUACUCUCCAGGACCCUGUGAAAAAAAUAGGCUACCACGAAACCUGGAAAUCUCACCCCUUCCCAAUUUCAUUUACGUUUAAUUGUUGAAUCCUAGAAGGAAAAUUUUCAACAAAUCAAAGGAGAUAAGAUCUUGAAUUUAGUAAAUGGCUACAAUAAAGGACAAGCUGAUAGGAAGAAGACGAAGGGGAAAGAAAAAAAAAAAAGAAGAAGAGGAGGAGGAGGAUAGAUUAUUAUAAUUCCAAACCAAGAUUACACCCAAAUAUUUUAUGAUUAUUAAUAAGGAGAUAAGUGAAAAAAGAAGAAGAGUAAUAUUUAAUCAUCCAAGAUGAUAAAUUGAAAGCAAUGACAUCCAUUAAACAUUUUGAAAGAAUUUUGUCUCAUACCCUUUAAUAACAAGAUAUAUAAUUAGAUAACUCAUUACAGUCUUCUUAGUGGCAAAGAUGAAUAUUCUAAACAUGAAUGAAGUAUUCUUAUCAAAACAUUGAAUGUUAAGGGGUGGGUGCUUAAUAGCUUUGUUGUUAUCUUCUCAAGAAUUGCACUCUUAAAAUAUAUUAUACAAUAUAAUGUUCGUGUAAUCGAUAGUCUUUCAUUAAACAAAAUUGAUUUUUUUUUCUUCUUUUUGGAAUAUUAAUUAGAUUUUGUGCUUCUUUAUAAAAUUA